UUGGAGCCUGGAAAACAGCUGGUUGGUUUAUUAUCUGUGCCAUAGGCUCCAGAAAUAGUUUAGAGCUGUGGUUCCCAAAGUUGGGCUGUGUAGCAUCAAGUAAGGGUCCUUGGAUGAGCUCAAAAAAUCUAAUUAAAGGUAAUAAGAAUAUUGAUAGCGUAAUAGAUUUCCAUUUCCUAUAAUUAUAACAAUAGCRCAUAAAAUAACCAUAAAAUAAUAAACAUGCUGUAAAAGCUAUUUGGAUUGUCAAUAAGCCCCUGUUCAUUACAGUUAUUGACAAAGUCCUAUUUGGAGUCACAAGCCUCUACCAUGAAUAAUUUGUAGGCCUGAAGGUGAAAAGUUUGGAAACCGCUGCUUUAGAGAAUAUACAGCCAAGUAAAGAUGAACGUUUUCCAACUAAACUCUCAGUUUGCACGUUUUGCAGCUUCUUGAUAAUUUAUGUUCUGUCGUUUCUCUCACAGGAUUCAAAGAAAAAAGAAGAAAAAAAACCUCCCAGCACAUUUAAAAUACAGCUGCAUGCACUACAACCAGUUCAAGAAGCAUCAGCAGAGUAUUUAAAGUCAGCCAGGUCGUUCUAGUCUUUUAGAGAGCAAAGGGCACAUUGUAGCACAAGGUGCAGGCUCUGUUCAACAAGUGCAAAGGCAUAAAGCAAAAAGGCACCGAGUUAGUGCCCUGCCACUGAUUGGCAGGGUGGGGUCACCAGGUGACCCCUGACCUUUUUAACCUUWGGAAUGUUGUCACGCUGGUGCGCGCAUUGUUCCGGCCUCCCCAAGGCCAGCAGAGACGAGUGUCAAAUGAAUGUGGGCGAUGAAUGAUCCUGAGGGUGCCCCCCCCACUCAAAAAAUAAAAAAAUCUCCCCUUUCUUUCCUUAAUCCUUUCUUUUUCUGUUCAUGAUCCCUAAAAUUUCUGCAAACAAAAGGCAUCAACAAGUCUACGAGUGGKCCGCUGUUGAUGGGCUGAAGUGGACCUCUCCGGAUGCAAACAGACUGUCCUCGCCGACCAAAGCCAGCCGAGAGAGAGGAUGUAAAACGAGUCGAUGAAAAGCAGUAAGACUGGAAAUGCUUCUCUGAUCAUCACUCAUCAUACAAACAACUGUUUCUGCUGGCUGACGGCCAAGAUCUGAGCGAUCCAAGGAAGGGAAUGAAGCAGCAUGAGGACUCACCAGCCAGGACUGAACAACCGACCUGCCGGCUACGCUACACUGGUCAAAUACCCGGGAACAACCGCUGGCCUGCUGGGAAACAAAACAACAAGGAGAAGAGGAGGAUGAGCGACAGAAAGAAAGAGAGCGAGAGAGAGAGAGGGCUGCAGCGUCAGAUGGUUAAUGAAGCCAAAAUGUUAAAUAAAGCUGGUAAUGAAAAGGAAAA
Molecule: long non-coding RNA, 1367 nt
Organism: Austrofundulus limnaeus
Lineage: Eukaryota; Metazoa; Chordata; Actinopteri; Cyprinodontiformes; Rivulidae
Exons: 2
Source: RefSeq, a predicted model, not a curated record